CAAACUGGAGAUGGCGACCGGCGCACGGGUGAGUAACACGUAUCCAACCUGCCGAUGACUCGGGGAUAGCCUUUCGAAAGAAAGAUUAAUACCCGAUGGCAUAGUUCUUCCGCAUGGUGGAACUAUUAAAGAAUUUCGGUCGUCGAUGGGGAUGCGUUCCAUUAGGUUGUUGGCGGGGUAACGGCCCACCAAGCCUUCGAUGGAUAGGGGUUCUGAGAGGAAGGUCCCCCACAUUGGAACUGAGACACGGUCCAAACUCCUACGGGAGGCAGCAUG
Molecule: ribosomal RNA, 276 nt
Filed under: uncultured bacterium
Lineage: Bacteria
Description: partial 16S ribosomal RNA
Rfam family: Bacterial small subunit ribosomal RNA
Source: RNAcentral